GAGAAGAGGGCGCUGUCAUCUGGGCGACGGCGCGUGAUCAGUGACCGAAGUGCGCGGAUCAGGCCCUCCUGUAGCUGCUCCACGGCCCGCAUAUCUGAGAUUCCAGACCGGUCUGAGGAGCACAGAGGAUGUUAGUAGACCAGCACCACAGCCAUGAAAAGUGCCAUUUCAUCGGGCUCUAGCCCCAAGGAGCUCAACUUCUCGCUGAAUUCAAACAUUGCAUCCAGAAGAGAGCCCAUGCCCAAGGCCCGCAGGGUGGACAGCGGUCAGGCGUUGUGGAUGAGCUGAGACACGACCUCACGUGUCUGCGGGGUCUGCUGCUUCCUCCGCUCCAAUAAUAGCCUCUCUCCCCUGGCACCGUGCCCAGCGCCAGCUAACAGCACGACACCUGACCGCCGCCUCACAUGCGUGGACUCCUGACACGGAUCCCGGCCGAACCAAAUCCGCAGCCUCGUGUUGAAAUGUAGACAAUCCGAAGUCAGACGUGUGUUUAUAAACAUUCGCUGACCGGGAAGCUCCCGGAGCGUGAGUCUCAGUCACUGCUGUUCAUGUGCCACCAUCAAUUGAAGAAUGCCAGUCACGUUUUUGAGCAGAGUAAAAACAAAAAAAAAAAAAAAAA
This is a long non-coding RNA of Mugil cephalus (flathead mullet), 619 nucleotides long. RefSeq lists it as uncharacterized. The transcript has 3 exons. The record is from RefSeq and is a predicted model, not a curated record. NCBI's taxonomy places the organism in Eukaryota, Metazoa, Chordata, Actinopteri, Mugiliformes, Mugilidae.